RNAcentral lists this transfer RNA (68 nucleotides) under Songmachilis xinxiangensis. Its description in RNAcentral is "tRNA-His". The record is from RNAcentral. Lineage: Eukaryota; Metazoa; Arthropoda; Insecta; Archaeognatha; Machilidae.
AUUUAAUUGGUCUAAUUAGGAUUAUAGUUUGUGGAACUGUAGGAGCAAAGAGUUAAUUGCAUUAAAUC